RNAcentral lists this ribosomal RNA (482 nucleotides) under uncultured bacterium. RNAcentral describes it as "partial 16S ribosomal RNA". It matches the Rfam family "Bacterial small subunit ribosomal RNA", at positions 28 to 507 of the family's 1533-position model. The record is from RNAcentral.
GAUGAACGCUGGCGGCAGGCCUAAUACAUGCAAGUCGAACGAGAUUAAGAGGCUUGCUUCUUAUGAAAGUGGCGCACGGGUGCGUAACGCGUAUGCAACCUACCUUAAUCAGGGGGAUAGCCCGAAGAAAUUCGGAUUAAGACCGCAUAAAAACACAGGAUAGCAUUAUCCAAUGUUCAAAUAUUUAUAGGCUUAAGAUGGGCAUGCGUGUCAUUGGCUAGUUGGCGGGGUAACGGCCCACCAAGGCGACGAUGACUAGGGGAGCGGAGAUGAUGACCCACUGGACUGGAACUGCGACCCAGACCAGACUGGGACGCAGGGCAGCAGUAUGGAAUAUUGGGCACUGAAGGGUGCUCCAAACCAGCCAUGCCGCGUGCAGGAAGCCUGCGCUCUGAGUCGUAAACUGCUUUUAUUCGAGAAUAAUACGUUCUUCGUGUAGGGAGCUGAAUGUACCGAAAGAAUAAGGAUCGGCUAACUCCGUG